RNAcentral lists this unclassified non-coding RNA (379 nucleotides) under soil metagenome. Its description in RNAcentral is "partial contains 5.8S ribosomal RNA, internal transcribed spacer 2, and large subunit ribosomal RNA". The stretch from base 1 to 120 matches the Rfam family "5.8S ribosomal RNA", at positions 35 to 154 of the family's 154-position model. The record is from RNAcentral.
GAUGAAGAACGUAGCGAAAUGCGAUAAGUAGUGUGAAUUGCAGAAUUCAGUGAAUCAUCGAAUCUUUGAACGCACCUUGCACCCUUUGGCAUUCCGAAGGGUAUGCUCGUUUGAGUGUCAUUGUACUCUCACACUUCCGAUCUUUCGAUUGGGAGCGGUGGACUUGGGUGUUGCUGCUUUACUGUGGCUCACCUCAAAUGGAGUAGUGCAACUCUUGGUUGGACAUAGUACGGCGUGAUAAGUGUCUUCGCCGGCACCUCAUAGAGGGUGGCUGAUCAGGAGCUCUGUGCUUCAAACUGUCUUCGGACAACCUCUGACAACUUGACCUCAAAUCGAGUAGGACCACCCGCUGAACUUAAGCAUAUCAAUAAGCGGAGGA